RNAcentral lists this long non-coding RNA (419 nucleotides) under Vigna radiata. RNAcentral's name for it is "long non-coding RNA (VRAD_LNC016294)". The record is from RNAcentral. Lineage: Eukaryota; Viridiplantae; Streptophyta; Magnoliopsida; Fabales; Fabaceae.
UUGUAAAAGAAUAAAGUUUGUGGUUUGUAUGCAAAGAACGAAAAUAAACAAGCAAAUGCAAGUGGUUCAAUUGGCAAGAAAAAGAUAUGGAUGAAUGGAGUUGUUGGGGUUUACAAUUUCAUCUUAUCCACUCUCUUUUAUCUACUCUUCUUAUUAAUUCGCUUUAUUAUCUAAUUGUCAUGCAAACUUUCUUAGUCUACCCUAAACCCAAUCCUGGCAAGAAGAGCCUACUACUAAUUAUUGGCUUACUAUCCCUAGUCUCCCCUAGCAACUAGCAAUGCAAGUAUCACGGAAGCAAAAUACAAUUGAUCGUCCUCCCCCUAUCCCUAGGUGGUAUUGCUUAAUUAAAGAAUUCCCAUAUCGACAAAGGCAAACAUCUUUAUAUCGAAUGAGUUAAAUGAUAAAAGCUUUGAGCAUAG